This 338-nucleotide unclassified non-coding RNA is filed under the name soil metagenome. RNAcentral describes it as "partial contains 5.8S ribosomal RNA, internal transcribed spacer 2, and large subunit ribosomal RNA". The stretch from base 1 to 120 matches the Rfam family "5.8S ribosomal RNA", at positions 35 to 154 of the family's 154-position model. The record is from RNAcentral.
GAUGAAGAACGCAGCGAAAUGCGAUAAGUAAUGUGAAUUGCAGAAUUCAGUGAAUCAUCGAAUCUUUGAACGCACAUUGCGCCCUUUGGUAUUCCGAAGGGCAUGCCUGUUCGAGCGUCAUUACAACCCUCAAGCUCUGCUUGGUAUUGGGCACCGUCCUUUGCGGGCGCGCCUCAAAGACCUCGGCGGUGGCGUCUUGCCUCAAGCGUAGUAGAACAUACAUCUCGCUUCGGAGCGCAGGGCGUCGCCCGCCGGACGAACCUUCUGAACUUUUCUCAAGGUUGACCUCGGAUCAGGUAGGGAUACCCGCUGAACUUAAGCAUAUCAAUAAGCGGAGG